Molecule: ribosomal RNA, 505 nt
Filed under: uncultured bacterium
Lineage: Bacteria
Description: bacterial SSU rRNA
Rfam family: Bacterial small subunit ribosomal RNA
Source: RNAcentral
GAUGAACGCUAGCGGCAGGCUUAAUACAUGCAAGUCGAGGGGCAGCACGGUUAGGCAAUAACUGGUGGCGACCGGCGCGACGGGUGCGUAACACGUAUACAAUCUACCUUAAACAGGGGAUAGCCUUUCGGAAAGAGGAGAUUAAUACCCCGUAAUAAAUUGAACGGCAUCGUUUGAUUUUGAAAGCUCCGGCGGUUUGAGAUGAGUAUGCGUCUGAUUAGCUAGUUGGUGAGGUAACGGCUCACCAAGGCGACGAUCAGUAGGGGAUCUGAGAGGACUAACCCCCACACUGGUACUGAGACACGGACCAGACUCCUACGGGAGGCAGCAGUAAGGAAUAUUGGUCAAUGGAGGCAACUCUGGACCAGCCAUGCCGCGUGCAGGAUGACGGCCCUAUGGGUUGUAAACUGCUUUUAUACAAGAGAAAAACCCCUGGUACGUGUACCAGGUUGAUAGUAUUGUAAGAAUAAGCAUCGGCUAACUUCGUGCCAGCAGCCGCGGUAAU